This 469-nucleotide ribosomal RNA is filed under the name uncultured bacterium. RNAcentral's name for it is "partial 16S ribosomal RNA". It matches the Rfam family "Bacterial small subunit ribosomal RNA", at positions 28 to 507 of the family's 1533-position model. The record is from RNAcentral.
GACGAACGCUGGCGGCGUGCUUAACACAUGCAAGUCGAACGGAAAGGCCCUGCUUGCCGGGUGCUCGAGUGGCGAACGGGUGAGUAACACGUGUGUGAUCUGCCCCUUACUUUUGGAUAAGCCUUGGAAACUGGGUCUAAUACUGGAUAGAACCAUGCUGUAUGUGGUGUGGUGGAAAGAUUAGUUUCGGUAAGGGAUGAGCUCGCGGCCUAUCAGCUUGUUGGUGGGGUAUUGUCCUACCAAGGCGUCGACGGGUGGCCGGCCUGAGAGGGUGGACGGCAACAUUGGGACUGAGAGACUGCCCAGAAGCCUACGGGGGGCAGCAGUGGGGAAGAGUGCACAAUGGGGGCAAGCCUGAUGCAGCGACGCCGCGUGGGGGAUGACGGCCGUCGGGUUGUAAACUCCUUUCAGCCAUGACGAAGCCCUUGUGGUGACGGUAGUGGGAGAAGAAGCACCGGCUAACUACGUG